UGUUUAGCUCAGUUGGUUAGAGCAUCUGACUGUUAAUCAGGGGGUCGUAGGUUCGAGUCCUACAAC
RNAcentral lists this transfer RNA (66 nucleotides) under Kandleria vitulina. It matches the Rfam family "tRNA", at positions 5 to 66 of the family's 71-position model. From Rfam's summary of the family: Transfer RNA (tRNA) molecules are approximately 80 nucleotides in length. RNAcentral also lists the same sequence under 2 other names. The record is from RNAcentral. Lineage: Bacteria; Bacillati; Bacillota; Erysipelotrichia; Erysipelotrichales; Coprobacillaceae.